This 367-nucleotide unclassified non-coding RNA is filed under the name soil metagenome. RNAcentral describes it as "partial contains 5.8S ribosomal RNA, internal transcribed spacer 2, and large subunit ribosomal RNA". The stretch from base 1 to 121 matches the Rfam family "5.8S ribosomal RNA", at positions 35 to 154 of the family's 154-position model. The record is from RNAcentral.
GAUGAAGAACGCAGCGAACGUGCGAAACGUAAUGUGAAUUGCAGAAUUCAGUGAAUCAUCGAAUCUUUGAACGCAUCUUGCGCUCCUUGGUAUUCCGAGGAGCAUGCCUGUUUGAGUGUCGUGAAAUACUCUCAAUUUCAAUCUUUUUGUUUGAAAUUGGAUUUGGGCGUUGUCGUGAAUUCACGACUUGCCCUAAAUGCAUUAGUGAUCCCUGUCUUUGAUCACACAAUGUGAUAAUAAAAAAACAUUGUUACAGUCGAGUCAAGGUUGCUUCUAACUGUCUGUCACCAGACAACCAUUACAUGUCAUUUGACCUCAAAUCAGGUAGGACUACCCGCUGAACUUAAGCAUAUCAAUAAGCGGAGGA